UAAAAUUAAUAGCAAAUAUCGACAAGCGAAUAGACGAAAAGUAAAAGUACAGAGAGAGAGAGAGUUAGGUCCAAAUGGAGUUUGUGUCUGCCUGGACCGGUAUUUGAACCCAUUUUGAUUUGCUUUUUUUGGGCCAUUUCCACAUGCCCUAAGAUUCUAACAUAUAAUUACUAAAUAAUUAAAUGAACAUAAGGGCUUAUGCCCAAUACUACAAAAUAAAAUAAAUGUGGGGUUUAAGCCCAAUCUCUUCAACUUCAGAUCUGGUGUUUUUUUUUUUACUCCAACACCUGUACGUCAGUUUCGUAUAGCUGGAUGACUUGAGAAACAAAAUAUUUAAGGCCUUUAUGGCCCAUCCAAAAUGCAAGGGAAAGUAAAAGAUAAGAAUCCCUGCGGACUUGGAUGAUAUCACAUGCAACAAAAUAACGGCAAGGAUUAGCAUUCAAAAUAAUAGAACGAAUGCUAUAAAAACAAGGUUUAAUUAAAAUGACAUCCACUGAUAAAUUCAAAUUAAGUUGAGAAAGACAACUCUAAAAAACCAAACAAGUAAACUAUCGACAACAAAGUUAUACAAAUAUAUAUAGAUAAGCAUGUGCAUCCAUUUAAGAAAAAAAAAACAUACUGAAUUUCCAAGAAUACAUAACCAUCGGCCAAUAAUAAAUUCAUAGCAUUAAGAGAUAAUAUGCGGCAUAACUAUUAGACAAAGCCUCGUGACAAAGUCCAAAUUUUACUUCACCAAUGGAACCUAAUAUCAUAAUUUAUUAUGAUAAAGAACAAAUAUGCUAUUAGAAUAUAGUAGCAACCCAAAAUUUAGAAUGGAUACUAUUUUUACAUUCAAUUUUACCAUGGCAAACAUCAUUAAUUAACUUAACAUUCUUAAAAAACAUUUAGUAGGAACAAAUCAAACAUUCCUAGAAGCUGGUAUGAUUCAUCAGUAAAUCAACACAAAUAGGUAGCAAAAAAAAAAAACAGUCAGUCAUGCUUAGGACAGAUAACGUCAAUCUAAACAAUGAUAAAGAUUAAGGCUGGAACAUUGUCUAAAACGAGGGUAAAACUACGCCAAACCAAUUAUGAAUUGCAAUCCAAAACUACCUCUGUAUUAUCGACCACAAAUAGGACAAAACAAAUAAACCCACGAGGGGAGGAUGGACAUUAGACCAUGAGAUUAUAUGCAAGCAAAGGCCUAAGAAUGCUUAACUCAAAGACUCACACUACCAGUAAAAAAGAAUGCUUGAUUCGUUCAUUUGACUUGAGAUUUGAAAGAAAAAAAAAUUAUCAUAUGUCCAUGGUGAUGAACGUAGACUAAAAUAAGUAAUCCUACAACAAGCAUUCAACAUUGAACCAGCCAACUAAUAAUACUCUACUCACAAUCUCACUAGUUGCUCUUUCAUUUUAUUUUUUUUUAAAAGUAACUCACGCGAGUAAAAUACUUCGAUAUUAAUCAACAAGAAUGCCUCCAUCAAAAAACCAAAAAAAAUUUUAUGUCACAAAGGACAUGAAAAAGUGAGAAAAGAAAACUAAGAAUCAAUAGAUCACUUCAAUUAACUAAAUAAAACACACAUCAGACAAGUAAAAAUUUUGGAAGAAAAUUUACCUUCUUCAAGGCAGCAAAUAGGACAGCACUAGCAGAGAGGUAAUGACUUUCACCACGAACACAUUGAACACUAAUGAUUAAGGAGACUAGGAAGAAAUUCAAGAAGUUCUAUAUUCUGAAGUGUAUCUCGAGUGUAUCACUACCCGUUUCUAAAGAUAUUCUCGAUUUGUUAGACCAAAUAAUAACCCAACUGAAAAUCGUCAACUUUUGUCCUAUCUUUCUCCAAAACUUCUCAACUCGAAAAUCCCUUCCAAUGUCCAACUAAAACAAUCCAACCGUUUUUUCCAAUCUUUUUCCGGCCAGCCCCCAGAGAUGAAGAAAAGAGAGCUUUUAUAGUGGGAAUUUAAGGCUGGAAAAUGAGGGAAAAUGGAUCCAAUUUGGGUUAAAAGCCCAUCUCAAAAUCAAAAUUUGAACUCUUUCAAGAUUAGAGGCAGACCAUCUUUUGCUAAAGCUUGCAUCCAUUCCUAAAGAGGGAAGGAGAACGGACGAACGGAUCAAAUUGAUUGUCCUUGGGAAAUGACGUGGCUUAAUCUCGAGCUUUCAAGGACAACUUCGCGUGACUUGCAGCUGCUAUUGUCAACAGUGUAUGAAACGAAGGGUAGACACUGAGGAAGGCGUCUCACGCGCUAUGGCUUAUGAGGUCAGCUAUUGCUAGGAAUUGCGUGAAAGGGACGAUGAAGAGUUUGGGUGAGAUCGGGUUUAUUACACGUGUUUCUUCUAGGAUUGCUGGAAACGAUGGAGCCCUGCUUUUGGGUGACUGGGAAAUUGACGCUUUUGGGUUCUCUUUUUGGGAAAAGAUUGGGUUGGGUCGGGUCAAUUUUUGUGUUUUUGGAGGAGUUGGUUUUAAAUUUGAUAAUGGUCUGGCUGGGA
RNAcentral lists this long non-coding RNA (2461 nucleotides) under Solanum lycopersicum (tomato). RNAcentral's name for it is "long non-coding RNA (SLYC_LNC000640)". Lineage: Eukaryota; Viridiplantae; Streptophyta; Magnoliopsida; Solanales; Solanaceae. The record is from RNAcentral.